UCAGAAAAGUUACCACAGG
RNAcentral lists this small nuclear RNA (19 nucleotides) under Arabidopsis thaliana (thale cress). RNAcentral's name for it is "snRNA_14998". The record is from RNAcentral. Lineage: Eukaryota; Viridiplantae; Streptophyta; Magnoliopsida; Brassicales; Brassicaceae.